UUGAAAGGGAAACGAUUGAAGUCAGUCGUGCUGGCGCGAAAUCAACCUUCUCGUCUUGAGAUCACAUGGCGUGGCGAGCCUCAAAACCGUCACGAAGCGUGAACUCUUGGUGAAAUGGUGCACUUUUGUGUCGGCUGGUUAGCAUCAAUUUCGACCGUCAUAAAAAGGCUGGGGGGAUGUGGCUCCUUCGGGAGUGUUAUAACCCUUAGCGGAAUGUGGUGGACGAGAUUGAGGUUUGCAACGGGUGCUGCUUNGCCUGGCCUCUCGCCGGCGUCUUGGCGGCGACAGCUUGCUACGUCGUUAGGAACCGCAGACGAAAAGGUUAGAGCGGAGCGCUUCGUUAAGGAUGUUGACGUA
This 357-nucleotide ribosomal RNA is filed under the name uncultured Glomeromycotina. RNAcentral's name for it is "LSU rRNA". Lineage: Eukaryota; Fungi; Glomeromycota. The record is from RNAcentral.